RNAcentral lists this ribosomal RNA (492 nucleotides) under uncultured bacterium. RNAcentral's name for it is "partial 16S ribosomal RNA". It matches the Rfam family "Bacterial small subunit ribosomal RNA", at positions 29 to 507 of the family's 1533-position model. The record is from RNAcentral.
AGUGGACGCUGGCGGUAGGCCUAACACAUGCAAGUCGAACGGCAGCACAGUAAGAGCUUGCUCUUACGGGUGGCGAGUGGCGGACGGGUGAGGAAUACAUCGGAAUCUACUUUUUCGUGGGUGAUAACGUAGGGAAACUUACACUAAUACCGCAUACGACCUACGGGUGAAAGCAGGGGAUCUUCGGACCUUGCGCGAUUGAAUGAGCCGAUGUCGGAUUAGCUAGUUGGCGGGGUAAAGGCCCACCAAGGCGACGAUCCGUAGCUGGUCUGAGAGGAUGAUCAGCCACACUGGAACUGAGACACGGUCCAGACUCCUACGGGAGGCAGCAGUGGGGAAUAUUGGACAAUGGGCGCAAGCCUGAUCCAGCCAUACCGCGUGGGUGAAGAAGGCCUUCGGGUUGUAAAGCCCUUUUGUUGGGAAAGAAAAGAAGCAGGUUAAUCCCCCGAUGUUCUGACGGUACCCAAAGAAUAAGCCCCGGCUAACUUCGUG